This 497-nucleotide ribosomal RNA is filed under the name uncultured bacterium. RNAcentral describes it as "partial 16S ribosomal RNA". It matches the Rfam family "Bacterial small subunit ribosomal RNA", at positions 28 to 507 of the family's 1533-position model. The record is from RNAcentral.
GAUGAACGCUGGCGGCGUGCCUAAUACAUGCAAGUCGAGCGAACAGACGAGGAGCUUGCUCCUCUGACGUUAGCGGCGGACGGGUGAGUAACACGUGGAUAACCUACCUAUAAGACUGGGAUAACUUCGGGAAACCGGAGCUAAUACCGGAUAAUAUAUUGAACCGCAUGGUUCAAUAGUGAAAGACGGUUUUGCUGUCACUUAUAGAUGGAUCCGCGCCGCAUUAGCUAGUUGGUAAGGUAACGGCUUACCAAGGCAACGAUGCGUAGCCGACCUGAGAGGGUGAUCGGCCACACUGGAACUGAGACACGGUCAAGACUCCUACGGGAGGCAGCAGUAGGGAAUCGUCCGCAAAGGGCGAAAGCCUGACGGAGCAACGCCGCGUGAGUGAUGAAGGUCUUCGGAUCGUAAAACUCUGUUAUUAGGGAAGAACAAAUGUGUAAGUAACUAUGCACGUCUUGACGGUACCUAAUCAGAAAGCCACGGCUAACUACGUG